Molecule: long non-coding RNA, 742 nt
Organism: Salvia splendens (bonfire salvia)
Lineage: Eukaryota; Viridiplantae; Streptophyta; Magnoliopsida; Lamiales; Lamiaceae
Exons: 2
Source: RefSeq, a predicted model, not a curated record
UUUUUUUUUUAUUUUUUAUCGGUUUUUUAAUUAAAAAACCGAUUUUUAAAAAAAAUAUAAAAAAAUUUUAAACUCAACGGCUAUGCCUUUGACGAAUGGGAGGGCGACACGUGUGCGUCCGCUGGCACGGACGUGCUCGAUACAUCGAGCAGCGCCGUGCCAGCGGCGCUGCUGCAGCGGCGGCGGUGGCGACUUUCGCCACCGCUGCGGAUGCUCUAAAACUCUCCAUCUCCAAUCCUCGCAAGUCCAAAUCGACGGCUAUCUCCUCCACAUUCCAGAUCAUCGCCUCCAGCCCGUCGCCUCCUCCCUACAGUCGUGCUCCAGUCCGUUGCCUCCUCCCUACAGCCGUGCUUCAGUCCGCUGCUGCCUCCCGUCCCCACUUCGUCGCCUCUCCACCCGACCAUCCGUCGCCUCCGCCCUUCAGCCAUCCACGCUACCUUCAGGAAGCUAGGUACAGAUUCAGACUUAUGUUUAUGCAUUAAAGGGUGUUGAAUAAUAAAAGUGAAACUGUUGGAGAUGUCAUUGGUAUUUUUGGAAGUUUGAGCAAGAAAAAGUCACGAAGGCUUUAGAUCUAGAAAGGAACUUGCAGAGAAGUUGAACAGAAAUCUCCAUUAGUUAAUCAUGUUGCCUAUAUAUUUAUGAAAUUUUAUUUUUGUUGAUGGUGAUGUUAUAGCCUAAAUAUUUAUUUUUGUUGGUUGAGAUGUUAAUCAUGCUAUGGUUUUAUUGUGAAUACUGGUUUUAA